GGCUUAUAGUUUGAUCAUGGCUCAGGAUGAACGCUGGCGGCGUGCCUAACACAUGCAAGUCGAGCGAAGCACUUUACUUUGAUUCUUCGGAUGAAGAGUUUUGGGACUGAGCGGCGGACGGGUGAGUAACGCGUGGGUAACCUGCCUCAUACAGGGGGAUAACAGUUAGAAAUGACUGCUAAUACCGCAUAAGACCACAGCAUCGCAUGGUGCAGGGGUAAAAACUCCGGUGGUAUGAGAUGGACCCGCGUCUGAUUAGCUAGUUGGUAAGGUAACGGCUUACCAAGGCAACGAUCAGUAGCCGACCUGAGAGGGUGACCGGCCACAUUGGGACUGAGACACGGCCCAAACUCCUACGGGAGGCAGCAGUGGGGAAUAUUGCACAAUGGGGGAAACCCUGAUGCACCGACGCCGCGUGAGCGAAGAAGUAUUUCGGUAUGCAAAGCUCUAUCAGCAGGGAAGAAACUGACGGUACCUGACUAAGAAGCACCGGCUAAAUACCUGCCAGCAGCCGCGGAAUACGUAUGGUGCAAGCGUUAUCCGGAUUACUGGGUGUAAAGGGAGCGUAGACGGACUUGCUAGUCUGAAGUGAAAGCCCGGGGCUCAACCCCGGGACUGCUUUGGAAACUGUAGUCUAGAGUGCUGGAGAGGUAAGUUGUAAUUCCUAGUGUGCGGUGAAAUGCGUAGAUAUUAGGAGGAACACCAGCGGCGAAGGCGGCUACUGGACAGUAACUGACGUUGAAGGCUCGAAGCGUGGGGAGCAAACAGGAUAGAUACCCUGGUAGUCCACGCCGUAAA
This 798-nucleotide ribosomal RNA is filed under the name uncultured organism. RNAcentral's name for it is "bacterial SSU rRNA". It matches the Rfam family "Bacterial small subunit ribosomal RNA", at positions 1 to 806 of the family's 1533-position model. The record is from RNAcentral.